GUCCUCUUUGAGUGUUAAAGGAAAUUAAGACAACAGAGCAACUUUAUCUCAAAGUGAUUUCUACUCUUGUGUAUUUUUAUUGCAGGCGUAAGACAGAGUAUGGAAGACGUGUAUUUUGGAUCUUAACUGUCCUCUUUUACAAGGAAUCUAAAAAUAAGUCUUUUCUUUUGGAGAAAAGCCAAACAAUUGCAUGUUUCCAUAUUUUAGAGAAAAUAAAUU
RNAcentral lists this long non-coding RNA (219 nucleotides) under Homo sapiens (human). RNAcentral describes it as "non-protein coding lnc-TACSTD2-2:1". Lineage: Eukaryota; Metazoa; Chordata; Mammalia; Primates; Hominidae. The record is from RNAcentral.